Molecule: ribosomal RNA, 262 nt
Filed under: uncultured bacterium
Lineage: Bacteria
Description: partial 16S ribosomal RNA
Rfam family: Bacterial small subunit ribosomal RNA
Source: RNAcentral
UACGUAGGUGGCAAGCGUUGUCCGGAAUUAUUGGGCGUAAAGCGCGCGCAGGCGGUCCUUUAAGUCUGAUGUGAAAGCCCACGGCUCAACCGUGGAGGGUCAUUGGAAACUGGGGGACUUGAGUACAGAAGAGAAGAGUGGAAUUCCACGUGUAGCGGUGAAAUGCGUAGAGAUGUGGAGGAACACCAGUGGCGAAGGCGACUCUUGGUCUGUAACUGACGCUGAGGCGCGAAAGCGUGGGGAGCAAACAGGAUUAGAAACC